Molecule: ribosomal RNA, 245 nt
Filed under: uncultured bacterium
Lineage: Bacteria
Description: partial small subunit ribosomal RNA
Rfam family: Bacterial small subunit ribosomal RNA
Source: RNAcentral
AGAAUCAACGCUGGCGGCGUGCCUAACACAUGCAAGUCGAACGAGAAAGCGGAGCAAUCCGCAAGUAAAGUGGCGCACGGGUGAGUAACACGUGACUAACCUACCCUGGAGUGGGGGAUAACUGAGAGAAAUCUUAGCUAAUACCGCAUAACACCUACGGGUCAAAGGAGCAAUUCGCUUCAGGAGGGGGUCGCGGCAGAUUAGAUAGUUGGCGGGGUAAUGGCCCACCAAGUCAGUGAUCUGUA